UCGGGUAUGGUGUAACGGCUAACAUUGCCGCCUUUCACGAAUAUAAUUUCCGUAUACUGAGCGCGGCAGCUCGGGGUUCGAUUCCCCGUACCCGAA
Non-coding RNA from Collybia nuda, 96 nucleotides. The record is from the annotation of a GenBank genome assembly. Lineage: Eukaryota; Fungi; Basidiomycota; Agaricomycetes; Agaricales; Clitocybaceae.